Molecule: ribosomal RNA, 253 nt
Filed under: uncultured bacterium
Lineage: Bacteria
Description: partial 16S ribosomal RNA
Rfam family: Bacterial small subunit ribosomal RNA
Source: RNAcentral
UACGUAGGGUGCAGGCGUUAAUCGGAAUUACUAGGCGUAAAGCGUGCGCAGGCGGUCUUUUAAGUCAGAUGUGAAAUCCCCGGGCUUAACCUGGGAACUGCGUUUGAAACUGGAAGGCUUGAGUGUGGCAGAGGGGGGUGGAAUUCCACGUGUAGCAGUGAAAUGCGUAGAGAUGUGGAGGAACACCGAUGGCGAAGGCAGCCCCCUGGGCUAACACUGACGCUCAUGCACGAAAGCGUGGGGAGCAAACAGG